CAUAAAGUAUGUCGUAGUCCGGAUUGGAGUCUGCAACUCGACUCCAUGAAGUCGGAAUCGCUAGUAAUCGUAGAUCAGAAUGCUACGGUGAAUACGUUCCCGGGCCUUGUACACACCGCCCGUCACACCAUGGGAGUGGGUUGCAAAAGAAGUAGGUAGCUUAACCUUCGGGAGGGCGCUUACCACUUUGUGAUUCAUGACUGGGGUGAAGUCGUAACAAGGUAACCGUAGGGGAACCUGCGGUUGGAUCACCUCCUU
RNAcentral lists this ribosomal RNA (258 nucleotides) under Klebsiella pneumoniae. Its description in RNAcentral is "partial 16S ribosomal RNA". It matches the Rfam family "Bacterial small subunit ribosomal RNA", at positions 1275 to 1532 of the family's 1533-position model. The record is from RNAcentral. Lineage: Bacteria; Pseudomonadati; Pseudomonadota; Gammaproteobacteria; Enterobacterales; Enterobacteriaceae.